AGUGAACGCUGGCGGUAGGCCUAACACAUGCAAGUCGAACGGCAGCACAGUAAGAGCUUGCUCUUACGGGUGGCGAGUGGCGGACGGGUGAGGAAUACAUCGGAAUCUACUUUUUCGUGGGGGAUAACGUAGGGAAACUUACGCUAAUACCGCAUACGACCUACGGGUGAAAGCAGGGGAUCUUCGGACCUUGCGCGAUUGAAUGAGCCGAUGUUGGAUUAGCUAGUUGGCGGGGUAAAGGCCCACCAAGUCGACGAUCCGUAGCUGGUCUGAGAGGAUGAUCAGCCACACUGGAACUGAGACACGGUCCAGACUCCUACGGGAGGCCGCAGUGGGGAAUGGUGGACAAUGGGCGCGAGCCUGAUCCAGCCAUACCGCGUGGGUGAAGAAGGCCUUCGGGUUGUAAAGCCCUUUUGUUGGGAAAGAAAAGCAGCAGGUUAAUACCCCGCUGUUCUGACGGUACCCAAAGAAUAAGCACCGGCUAACUUCGUG
This 492-nucleotide ribosomal RNA is filed under the name uncultured bacterium. RNAcentral's name for it is "partial 16S ribosomal RNA". It matches the Rfam family "Bacterial small subunit ribosomal RNA", at positions 29 to 507 of the family's 1533-position model. The record is from RNAcentral.